RNAcentral lists this ribosomal RNA (253 nucleotides) under bacterium. RNAcentral's name for it is "partial 16S ribosomal RNA". It matches the Rfam family "Bacterial small subunit ribosomal RNA", at positions 524 to 776 of the family's 1533-position model. The record is from RNAcentral. RNAcentral also lists the same sequence under 3 other names.
UACGUAGGGUCCGAGCGUUGUCCGGAGUUACUGGGCGUAAAGCGCGCGCAGGCGGCGGUGCUGGCCCGGCGUGAAAGCCCCCGGCUCAACCGGGGAGGGUCGUCGGGGACCGCACCGCUUGAGGGCGGUAGGGGCUGGUGGAAUGCCUGGUGUAGUGGUGAAAUGCGUAGAGAUCAGGCGGAACACCCGUGGCGAAGGCGGCCAGCUGGGCCGUCCCUGACGCUGAGGCGCGAAGGCGUGGGGAGCGAACGGG